RNAcentral lists this ribosomal RNA (253 nucleotides) under uncultured bacterium. Its description in RNAcentral is "partial 16S ribosomal RNA". It matches the Rfam family "Bacterial small subunit ribosomal RNA", at positions 524 to 776 of the family's 1533-position model. The record is from RNAcentral.
UACGUAGGGGGCAAGCGUUGUCCGGAAUUAUUGGGCGUAAAGAGCGCGUAGGCGGUCCGGUAAGUCGGCUGUGAAAGUCAAGGGCUCAACCCUUGAAAGCCGGCCGAUACUGUCGGACUAGAGUCCGGAAGAGGCGAGUGGAAUUCCCGGUGUAGCGGUGAAAUGCGCAGAUAUCAGGAGGAACACCCGUAGCGAAGGCGGCACUCUGGGCCGAUACUGACACUGAGGAGCGAAAGCGUGGGGAGCGAACAGG